RNAcentral lists this ribosomal RNA (1405 nucleotides) under uncultured bacterium. RNAcentral's name for it is "bacterial SSU rRNA". It matches the Rfam family "Bacterial small subunit ribosomal RNA". The record is from RNAcentral.
AGAGUUUGAUCCUGGCUCAGGAUGAACGCUAGCUACAGGCUUAACACAUGCAAGUCGAGGGGAAACGAUAGAGAAAGCUUGCUUUUUCUAGGCGUCGACCGGCGCACGGGUGAGUAACGCGUAUCCAACCUGCCCACCACUUGGGGAUAACCUUGCGAAAGUAAGACUAAUACCCAAUGAUAUCUCUAGAAGACAUCUGAAGGAGAUUAAAGAUUUAUCGGUGAUGGAUGGGGAUGCGUCUGAUUAGCUUGUUGGCGGGGUAACGGCCCACCAAGGCAACGAUCAGUAGGGGUUCUGAGAGGAAGGUCCCCCACAUUGGAACUGAGACACGGUCCAAACUCCUACGGGAGGCAGCAGUGAGGAAUAUUGGUCAAUGGGCGAGAGCCUGAACCAGCCAAGUAGCGUGCAGGAUGACGGCCCUAUGGGUUGUAAACUGCUUUUAUAAGGGAAUAAAGUGAGUCUCGUGAGACUUUUUGCAUGUACCUUAUGAAUAAGGACCGGCUAAUUCCGUGCCAGCAGCCGCGGUAAUACGGAAGGUCCGGGCGUUAUCCGGAUUUAUUGGGUUUAAAGGGAGCGUAGGCCGGAGAUUAAGCGUGUUGUGAAAUGUAGUGGCUCAACCUCUGCACUGCAGCGCGAACUGGUCUUCUUGAGUACGCACAACGUGGGCGGAAUUCGUGGUGUAGCGGUGAAAUGCUUAGAUAUCACGAAGAACUCCGAUUGCGAAGGCAGCUCACGGGAGCGCAACUGACGCUGAAGCUCGAAAGUGCGGGUAUCGAACAGGAUUAGAUACCCUGGUAGUCCGCACGGUAAACGAUGGAUGCCCGCUGUUGGCCGAAAUUGGUCAGCGGACCAAGCGAAAGCAUAAGCGUCCCACCUGGGGAGGAUGCCGGCAACGGUGAAACUCAAAGGAAUUGACGGGGAGCCUGCACAAGCGGUGGAUUAUGUGGUUUAAUUCGAAGCAACGCGAAGAACCUUACCAGGGUUUGACAUCCUGCUAACGAAGUAGAGAUACAUUAGGUGCCCUUCGGGGAAAGCAGAGACAGGUGGUGCAUGGUUGUCGUCAGCUCGUGUCGUAAGAUGUUGGGUUAAGUCCCGCAACGAGCGCAACCCUUAUCUUCAGUAGCCAGCAUUUUGGAUGGGCACUCUGGAGAGACUGCCAGGGAUAACCUGGAGGAAGGUGGGGAUGACGUCAAAUCAUCAUGCCCCUUAUGAGCAGGGCUACACACGUGCUACAAUGGCGUAAACAAAGGGAAGCGAGCCUGCGAGGGUAAGCAAAUCUCAAAAAUAACGUCUCAGUUCGGAUUGUAGUCUGCAACUCGACUACAUGAAGCUGAAUCGCUAGUAAUCGCGAAUCAGCAUGUCGCGGUGAAUACGUUCCCGGGUCUUGCACACACCGCCCGUCAAG